GUCUGAUAAGAAACAUUUACAAUCUAUUCUCUCUGAAGCCUGCUACCUGGAGGCUUCACCUACAUGAUAAAGCCUUGGUCUCCACAACCCCUUAUCUUAACCCAGAUAUUUCUUUCUAUUGAUUCUAAGUCUUUAGACAAUAACUAAACUCUUUCAGAGAAAUAAAAGACAAAAGAAAUAAUUCAACAAUAUUACAAAGAAAUGAAGGGCAUGAAUUCCCAAUUUCAAGGGACCCAUUGAGAACCCAGCAUAACAGGCAAAAUAAAGAUACACACCAAAGCACAUUAUUAUUAAAUUUCAGAACAUUGGAGACAGAAAGGACCUAACAGAGAGGAAAAUAAAAUCACUGGAAAGGAUAAAGAAUCGGAAUGGUAUCUGACUUCUCAACAGCGACUCUGGUAGUAGAAGUCAAUAAAGAAAUGUUUUUUAAAACAAAAAUGUUUUUAAGUUCACAUUUUAUUUAGGUUGAAAUAAGCUGUACAAAAUUGGUAUUUCUGACCAAAAAUAACAGCCAUAUUUUCUAUCAUAUUUAUAGAUAAACCACAAAACACUUAUUGUAGUCAGUUUUUCAGGUUUUGAUUUUAAUCUAGAUAAGGAAGUAGACAUAGUUAUGAAAAAAGAAGAGAACAGACACAUCAGCUGUCUGUAUCCAGGGCUUCUGAUUCUGUCUUGACCAUGAAACUAAAGUGUUCCACAUACACCUGAUGAAAAGCUUACGACACAGGAAGACAUCAGCUCAACAAAGGAAUGCAAAUAGCAACAAGCAGAAGGAGAACAAUGAUGCCAGACUCUUCCAUUCAAACUUGUUCUUCUAGGAUCACUUGAUAAAGAUCAGACCUACAAUGCCACCCUUGUUGGGUGAGCUCACUGCUUCUCUCACUCUCUGGUAAUUCCCAUAACUGUGCAUUAAAGGGUUUUUUUUGUUUUUGUUUUUGUUUUUGUUUUCUUUUGUUUUUGAGACUCUGUCGCCAGGCUGGAGUGCAGUGGUGUGAUCUCGGCUCACUGCAACCUCUGCCUCCUGGGUUCUAGCGAUUCUCCUGCCUCAGCCUCCCGAGUAGCUGGAACUACAGACACGCGCCACCACGUCCGGCUAAUUUUUGUAUUUUUUAGUAGAGACGGGGUUUCGCCAUAUUGGCCAGGAUGGUCUCAAACUCCUGACCUCAUGAUCUGCCUGCCUCGGCCCCCCCAAAGUGUUG
Molecule: long non-coding RNA, 1196 nt
Filed under: Homo sapiens (human)
Lineage: Eukaryota; Metazoa; Chordata; Mammalia; Primates; Hominidae
Description: HSALNT0381082
Source: RNAcentral